This 711-nucleotide ribosomal RNA is filed under the name bacterium enrichment culture clone SC-2_59. Its description in RNAcentral is "bacterial SSU rRNA". It matches the Rfam family "Bacterial small subunit ribosomal RNA", at positions 157 to 869 of the family's 1533-position model. The record is from RNAcentral.
CGAAAAUUAAUACCCCAUAGUAAUAUCUGAUGGCAUCUGAGGAUAUUUAAAGAUUUAUCACUUGAAGAUGGGCGUGCGCCUGAUUAGGUAGUUGGCGGGGUAACGGCCCACCAAGCCUACGAUCAGUAACUGGUGUGAGAGCACGACCAGUCACACGGGCACUGAGACACGGGCCCGACUCCUACGGGAGGCAGCAGUAAGGAAUAUUGGUCAAUGGACGCAAGUCUGAACCAGCCAUGCCGCGUGGAGGAUGAAGGUCCUCUGGAUUGUAAACUUCUUUUAUCGGAGAAGAAACCCCCGAGUUCUCUUGGGGUUGACGGUACCCGAUGAAUAAGCACCGGCUAACUCCGUGCCAGCAGCCGCGGUAAUACGGAGGGUGCAAGCGUUAUCCGGAUUCACUGGGUUUAAAGGGAGCGUAGGUGGGCUGGUAAGUCAGUGGUGAAAUCUCCGGGCUUAACCCGGAAACUGCCGUUGAUACUAUCAGUCUUGAAUGUUGUGGAGGUAAGCGGAAUAUGUCAUGUAGCGGUGAAAUGCUUAGAUAUGACAUAGAACACCGAUAGCGAAGGCAGCUUGCUACACAAUUAUUGACACUGAGGCUCGAAAGCGUGGGGAUCAAACAGGAUUAGAUACCCUGGUAGUCCACGCCCUAAACGAUGGAUACUCGACAUACGCGAUACACAGUGUGUGUCUGAGCGAAAGCAUUAAGUAUCA